This 460-nucleotide ribosomal RNA is filed under the name uncultured bacterium. Its description in RNAcentral is "partial 16S ribosomal RNA". It matches the Rfam family "Bacterial small subunit ribosomal RNA", at positions 338 to 795 of the family's 1533-position model. The record is from RNAcentral.
CCUACGGGAGGCAGCAGUGAGGAAUAUUGGUCAAUGGACGGAAGUCUGAACCAGCCAUUCCGCGUGCAGGAAGACGGCUCUAUGAGUUGUAAACUGCUUUUGUACAAGGGUAAACCUGAAUACGUGUAUUCUGCUGAAAGUACUGUACGCAUAAGGAUCGGCUAACUCCGUGCCAGCAGCCGCGGUAAUACGGAGGAUCCAAGCGUUAUACGGAUUUGUUGGGUUUAAAGGGUGCGGAGGCGGAUUGAUAAGUUAGAGGUGAAAUGUCCGAGCUUAACUCGGGAACUGCCUCUAAUACUGUUGAUCUAGAGAGUAGAUGCGGUAGGCGGAAUGUAUGGUGUAGCGGUGAAAUGCUUAGAGAUCAUACAGAACACCGAUUGCGAAGGCAGCGUACCAAUCUAUAUCUGACGUUGAGGCACGAAAGCGUGGGGAGCAAACAGGAUUAGAUACCCGAGUAGUC